Molecule: ribosomal RNA, 207 nt
Filed under: uncultured bacterium
Lineage: Bacteria
Description: partial 16S ribosomal RNA
Rfam family: Bacterial small subunit ribosomal RNA
Source: RNAcentral
CUCGUAGGCGGCCAACUAAGUCGGAUGUGAAAUCCCCAGGCUUAACCUGGGAACUGCAUCCGAUACUGGAUGGCUUGAAUCCGGGAGAGGGAUGCAGAAUUCCAGGUGUAGCGGUGAAAUGCGUAGAUAUCUGGAGGAAUACCGGUGGCGAAGGCGGCAUCCUGGACCGGCAUUGACGCUGAUGAGCGAAAGCUAGGGGAGCAAACG